AAGGUACAUAUCAUAUGUGUGCGUGUGUCCCUGAAAUCUAUCACUUCUUUUAUCUAGGAGGUAUGUUUUUCAACCUGAUUUGAGUAUCUCUGUUUUGGUAGGGUGUUUUCAUAAAUCCAGCCUUCAUUGAGCCAUUUGGACUUACUUUAAUUGAGGUUAUUACUCUUGAGGAUGUAAUAAAGGGAAUUAAGAUCAUGAGGGAGACUUUGAUAUAUUUGUCACAUCUUGAUCACGAGGACACGGAAAAGCUGAUGCUAAAGAAGCUAAGCAAACAAUUAAGUGGCGAGGAUUGGAAUUGGAACAACUUAAACACAUUAUGUUGGGCAAUAGGGUCUAUAUCUGGUUCGAUGAUGGAAGAACA
Long non-coding RNA from Humulus lupulus (European hop), 361 nucleotides. RefSeq lists it as uncharacterized. The transcript has 4 exons. NCBI's taxonomy places the organism in Eukaryota, Viridiplantae, Streptophyta, Magnoliopsida, Rosales, Cannabaceae. The record is from RefSeq and is a predicted model, not a curated record.